CGCGCAGGCGGCGCACCAAGUCAGGCGUGAAAGCCCCGGGCUCAACCUGGGAAUUGCGCUUGAUACUGGGGUGCUGGAGUUCGGGAGAGGAGAGUGGAAUUCCCAGUGUAGAGGUGAAAUUCGUAGAUAUUGGGAAGAACACCGGUGGCGAAGGCGGCUCUCUGGACCGAGACUGACGCUGAGGCGCGAAAGCGUGGGGAGCAAACAGGAUUAGAUACCCUGGUAGUCCACGCCGUAAACGAUGUGUGCUAGACGUUGGCGGGCCUAGCCUGUCAGUGUCGCAGCUAACGCGAUAAGCACACCGCCUGGGGAGUACGGCCGCAAGGUUAAA
This 331-nucleotide ribosomal RNA is filed under the name uncultured Rhodospirillales bacterium. RNAcentral's name for it is "bacterial SSU rRNA". It matches the Rfam family "Bacterial small subunit ribosomal RNA", at positions 568 to 898 of the family's 1533-position model. The record is from RNAcentral. Lineage: Bacteria; Pseudomonadati; Pseudomonadota; Alphaproteobacteria; Rhodospirillales.